This 712-nucleotide ribosomal RNA is filed under the name Burmannia lutescens. RNAcentral's name for it is "eukaryotic LSU rRNA". The stretch from base 289 to 444 matches the Rfam family "5.8S ribosomal RNA". Lineage: Eukaryota; Viridiplantae; Streptophyta; Magnoliopsida; Dioscoreales; Burmanniaceae. The record is from RNAcentral.
UGCGGAAGGAUCAUUGUCGAGAUAUGAGCGCGAAAGACUUGUGAACUUGUUAAUCAAAUGGCAUCAUGCCAACUGAUAUUUGCCGAUAAUGGCUUAUUUGUUGGAUGGGCAUAGCCAUGUCACCACUUCUUUAUGGUUGUGGAAGUUGGCAAAAAUGAUCGUGGGCACGGAAUGUGCCAAGGAAAAAAAUUGCUCAUUUCGAUAUUGUCUUCUGUUGGUGGCAUUAAUAAUAUGCUCAAUCAACAGAAAGCUUGUCGUGGCAUUGUGGUAUUGUGUCAUUAAAGAUAUGACUCUCGACAACGGAUAUCUAGGCUCUUGCAUCGAUGAAGAACGUAGCGAAAUGCGAUACUUGGUGUGAAUUGCAGAAUCCCGUGAACCAUCGAGUUUUUGAACGCAAGUUGCGCCCGAGACCUCUUGGUUGCGGGCACGCCUGUUUGGGCGUCACGCUUUAUGUUGCUCCAUCAAACCAUUUCAUAUCAUGUGUUAGAUGGAAGCGAAGAUUGGUUCACCGUGCUGUUAAUAGUGUCGGUGAGCUGAAGUAUGAGAUGACGAUGGAGUUUUGAGUACACAACAUGUGGUGAGCAGAAUUUGUAAUUGUGCCGAUGUUGUUACCUCCUUGCCAUAUUCUUGCACCAAGCGUGUUGAAAGGGGUACCCUCUAAUGCUAGCAAUUGGGGUGUUCUCUUUUGUAUUGUGACCCCAGGUCAGACGGG